This is a long non-coding RNA of Cynoglossus semilaevis (tongue sole), 271 nucleotides long. RefSeq lists it as uncharacterized. The record is from RefSeq and is a predicted model, not a curated record. The transcript has 3 exons. NCBI's taxonomy places the organism in Eukaryota, Metazoa, Chordata, Actinopteri, Pleuronectiformes, Cynoglossidae.
GGGGAGCACCGAAGCGCUAAAACAAGGAUAAAACGAAGUGGCUGAAGGAGAAGAUUAGCACAAGGAAUGGAUGGAUUUGUUGCAAGUGCAGUUGAAAGGACAACAGCAUGACUACUAAAAGUACACAGUCUGGCAGGUAAUACAGUCCUCCACAACUGCAGCAGCAGCUGCUGGUGACCCUGAGACGAUCUACAGUCGGUCUGGUCUAUGCCAAGGUAUCUGUUUUAAACUUGGAUCAUUCUGUGUUACAGGCAGUAAAAGAUUAAUGGUG